CUUGAUUAGUUCAUAGUCAGCCAUCUCAGUGAAAGUAACGGUUUUCGUGAAGUACCCCGUUAACGGUACUACGUCACACAUUUGUGGUGAUAUUUCGUGAUAUUCUAUGAAGUAUUCUAGAGACACAUGGUUCCUGCAGAAGUUUGCCUUCAGUAAUGUCUUCAUUAACAGCCAUCGACCUAAGUUCCAUCAAGGGAGCAAUGUCAUAAAGUGAAUCCUGAUUACCUAGGAAAAGUGUUGCCACUUGCCUUCCAAGAACCCAUUGUGUAAGGUCCCAAUUGUCUGCUUUCAUGUGAGUUAGUCAUGUGCGUUUUUUUCUAGGUCCCAUGACUGGCUUUUCUUGUGAUCUAUGAGUGCUGACAUAACGUCUGUUU
Long non-coding RNA from Macrobrachium nipponense, 374 nucleotides. RefSeq lists it as uncharacterized. The transcript has 3 exons. NCBI's taxonomy places the organism in Eukaryota, Metazoa, Arthropoda, Malacostraca, Decapoda, Palaemonidae. The record is from RefSeq and is a predicted model, not a curated record.